UGCUCGAGAUCUGCAGUGGCUGCCGGGUGCGGAGCGCCGGCCGGGGGUGGGCUCUCCAGGGCUGCUAGGCCCCUGCCCUCACCUGCGGCCGCCCGGCCCCGCCCUAGGUGUGCCGUCAAUGGAUCAUGAAGAUGGAGGUGGUGGCUCAUGCCUGUUAAUCCCCACACUAUGAGAGGCUGAGGCAGGAGGAUCACUUGGGGCCAGUAGUUUGAGACCAGCCUGGGCAACAUGGCAAGACUCCAUCUCUACAAAAAAAUGCAAAAAGAAAUCAGUGGACCAUGUAUGUACACAUCUAUUUUGGAUUCAUGCCUGUAAGAUACUGAGCGUCGACCAGGCGCAGUGGCUCACAACUGUAAUCCCAGCACUUUGGGAGGCUGAGAUGGGUGGAUCACCUGAGCUCGGGAGUUCGAGACCAGCCUGAACAACAUGGAGAAACCCCAUCUCUACUAAAAAUACAAAAUUAGCUGGGCAUGGUGGCGCAU
Long non-coding RNA from Homo sapiens (human), 482 nucleotides. The record is from Ensembl. Lineage: Eukaryota; Metazoa; Chordata; Mammalia; Primates; Hominidae.